Molecule: unclassified non-coding RNA, 160 nt
Filed under: soil metagenome
Description: partial internal transcribed spacer 1
Source: RNAcentral
CAGAGUUGCAAGACUCCCUAAACCAUUGUGAACCUACCCUUCUACCGUUGCUUCGGCGGGCGGGCCCAGCGCCCCCCCGGCCCCCCGCGGGCGCCCGCCGGAGGAUACCCAAACUCUUGACAUUAGUGGCCUCUCUGAGUAUUCUUUACUGAAUAAGUCA